CCUCUAGCCACUUCCGGUUGCUAACGGUUCCCAAACAGCCCCCGAAAACGCUACGUGAGCUGGGCCCUGGGCCAGAGGCAGAAAACGGACGGAAGAAAAGGUCUGGCCGGAGAUGGGUCUCACUCUGUCACCCAGACUGGAGUGCAGUGAGUGGUGCGAUCAUAGCUUACUGCAGCCUGAAACUCCUGGGCUCAAGUGAUCUUCUCGCCUCAGCCUCCUGAGUAGCUGGAGCUACAGGUGUGAGCUACCCAGCAUGGCUCAUUUGAGAUUUCUGAGUAGAGAAGUAACAUGAUUAAACUUGGGAAUGAGCAUAGAUGAACAAUGUUGCAUCACGCUUGACAUCACCGGGGCUUCUUUCCAGUGUGGAUUUGCUCAUGUAAAAUGAGGUGUGAGCUCUGCCUGAAAGCUUUUCCAUAUGCAUCACAUUUGCAGGGCUUUUCUCCAGUGUGGGUUCUUUGGUGUCUCAAAAGAUGUGAGCUGUUACUGAAAGCUUUCCCACACACAUCACACUCAUAGGGCUUCUCUCUACCGUGGAUUCGCUGGUGUCCAACAAGAGCUGAACUGUAUCUGAAGGCCUUUCCACGCUUGUCACAUUCAUAUAGUUUCUUUCCACUGUGGAUUUUCUGGUGACAGAAGAGGCCCAAGCACUAGCUAAAGCUUUUCCCUCACUCACUACACUGCUAUGGCUUCUCUUCAGUAUGAACUCUGAUGUUGUCUCAGAUAUGAACUCAGAGAGGAUUUCCCACAAUCAUUACACUGGUAUGGUUUCUUUUCCGUGUGAGUUCUCUGGUGUCAAAUAACAUCUGAGCUGUGAUGAAAGACUUUCCCACACUCACUACAUUGGAAAGGUUUCUCCUGUGUGGGUCCUUCAAUGCUGAAUAAGAUAUGAACUGUAAUAAAAGACUUUUUCACACUCAUCACACUGAUAGGGUUUUAUAUGGCUAUGUAUUCUCUGAUGGUCAGUAAGUUGUGAGCUCUGAGUAAAAGUUUUGCUACAUACAUUACAUGAAGAGGGUGUGUUACCAGUACAGAUUAUUUUAUGUCUAAUGGGGCUUGAGUUUUGAGUGAAUGUUUUCCCACAUUCAUCACACAUAUAUUUUCUCUCAGUUGAUUGUGUUUCUCUGAUAUAUUUCUUUGUUUUUUGUUUGUUUGUUUGUAUAAGACGGAGUCUCGCUCUGUCGCCCAGGCUGGAGUGCAGUGACGUGAUCUUGGCUCAGUGCAACCUGAGGCUCCCAGGUUCAAGGGAUUCUCCUCUCAGCCUCCCAAGUAGCUGGGAUUACAGGCUUACACCACCACACCUGGCUAAUUUUUGUAUUUUUAGUAGAGACGGGGUUUCACCAUGUUGGCUAGUCUGG
This 1355-nucleotide long non-coding RNA is filed under the name Homo sapiens (human). Its description in RNAcentral is "HSALNT0333475". The record is from RNAcentral. Lineage: Eukaryota; Metazoa; Chordata; Mammalia; Primates; Hominidae.